Mustela lutreola (European mink) is the source of this 2301-nucleotide long non-coding RNA. RefSeq lists it as uncharacterized. NCBI's taxonomy places the organism in Eukaryota, Metazoa, Chordata, Mammalia, Carnivora, Mustelidae. The record is from RefSeq and is a predicted model, not a curated record. The transcript is spliced from 3 exons.
UCCAAGAGCGCGCCCGAGUCCCGCCCGCCCGGGGCGCAGCGAGGCUCAGUGGCGCCCCCUGGAGGCGCGCGGCUGCCGGCUCCGUCGCGCCUGGGCGCGGACGCGGCGCUCUUCCACGCGCCUCUGGCGCGCUGCGGUAGCCCCUCGGCGGAGCUGGCCAGGAGUCUUCCGAAGUGAACGCCAACUGACCGAGGACCGAGGACCAGACAUAUGACACCCCUCCUUAAGACUUGGUUCGACGGAAGUCCCCUCCAGAGGCCAGCCGCCACCCCCAGGGAGAGUUGCAAACCCCCAGAUUGACUCAGGAUGAGGAGUGUUGCUGUGUCUCAGGUCUGGUCGCUGCUGCUUCCUCUUUGGGUUCCGAUAGUCCACCCAGCCCUCAUCCUUCCUUGGGCUCCCAGGGCGAGGGCCGUGCUCCUCAUCGCCACCCUGAUGUCCAUCCACUGAUGAAUGGGGAAAAUGUGGCCCACCCUACAGUGGCCUCCGAUUCAGCCACGAGAAGGAAUGGAAACUGACCCCUGCUACAUGUGGAUGAACCUGAAACACCUUCUGCUAAGUGAAAGUGGCCAGACGCAAAUGUCAUGUAUUAUAUGUUUCCGUUUCUAUGAAACAUCCGGAAGGGGUGAAUCCGCAGAGGCUGAAAACAGUUGAGUGGUUGCUGGGGACCAGGUGGAAGGGAGAAAUAGGGAGAGACUGCUUAACGGGCAACAGGGUGUCCUUUGGCGGGUGAUGGAAGUGUUUUGGAACUAGACCCAGAGGGUGAUCAUCCAACAUUGUGAAUGUACUGAAUGCCACUGAAUUGCACAUCUUAAAAUUUUAUGUUAUGUGAAAUUUGCCCCCGUAGGAAUAAAUACACACACACACACACACACACACAACUAAGUACUAGGUCAUCCAUGUAUGACCAGCUGUAUUGCUUUUUCAUCAGACUGACUUUUGUCAUCAUGUCAGCUGUCCUCUCUCUAGGAACUUGGUUCAAGAUCCUGAAAAUCCUUGCAGACGAUUUGACAGCAUCUCGCUGGUCUGCUGUAAGCUUCCCUGCUCCUCUGGUCCCUGCUGAGUCUUCUCCGACAAGUGGGGGAAACUGGCUGCCCGGGAGACCUCUCCCACCUGCUAGCUGCUGGUGGCGGGGCAGGGGCGGUGUUAGAGUGCCAUUAGUCAGGGCUUUUCCUUGCAAGUAAGAGAAACACAAACAAGCUGGCUGACUAAGCAGAAAAGGAGCUUCUUAAAAGGAUAUUAACUCAGAGGAUGGGUUGAAGGGCUGGUGGACCUGGCUGGAGGCUGUGCCUCCAGGAUCAAUGCAUGGAAACAGCUGGAUGAGCAAAACACCAGCAUGCUGUCGCUCUGCUAGGACAUUUCUUUACCAAGAACUUGCCCAAGACUGCAGGCCUAUAGCCACCCUCCCUACACUGAGCCUCCUUUUCUGGGUUCUCACUUCCUUAUAGUCUCCCCUGGGCAUCGGAUUGGUGGAGCCGGGUCAUGCCCAGGUGCCUUGGCUUCAAGGAAGACUUGUUCCUGGGUCCCACCUCCUCCAUGGGGAGAUGGAAAUUUCUCAAAUAUUACAAAAUGUUGAAAACGUGGCAGGCAUACAGAAAACACGGCACACAGAGGAUACUGCCUCCAUUAUUCCCCAAGUGCUUGAAGGACCAUAUGGCAGCCCAAGCUCAUUUGACCUUCUCUCUUCUCAUGAGAGAACUGGGGACUUCUGCAGAGACCCAGCCUGGCCAGCUCCGAUUUGCAACUAUCCAGAACCUUCACACCUGCUCCCCUCCCCCAGAUGUGUAGGUUUCAAGGGGCUGGGAGGGAGAAAAAGCCCACCCACCCCUAGUUAUGGGUUAGGUAGAUAACUCAGACCCGUCCAUCACUACAUUCCAUUUCGCAAGAACAGUGAUUGGUCCAAGGAAGCCCAUGAUCAGAACAGUGCCUUUUCAAGUUUUCCCUGGGAUUGAUAAGGUGUGUGUGUGUGGGGGGGGGGAGAAGUUCUCUUUUGCCAUGGAGUUGUCAAACUAGAAGGAAAUGCAGCUGGGGUCAUCUUCCCUCACCCUAAGAAAGAAAUUAUAUGCAAAAGAAAAAUCUCCUAUGGAAAGGAGGGAUUGGUGAGACAGCCAGGAAAAUAUGGUUUCAUUUCCUGGAUCCAGCUAAGCCUGAAGCCAUUCCAUUUCUGGUCUUUAAUUACAGAAGCCAAAAUUCCUUUAUACAGCUUCAGUUAGUUAGAGUUGGGUUUCUCUGGGAACCGAGUCUUUGUAAUUCGCCACCCACUCUCUAGUGGGAAAUUGACUAUGAAACAUUUUCUGUCCAUUA